This 478-nucleotide ribosomal RNA is filed under the name uncultured bacterium. RNAcentral's name for it is "bacterial SSU rRNA". It matches the Rfam family "Bacterial small subunit ribosomal RNA", at positions 31 to 507 of the family's 1533-position model. The record is from RNAcentral.
GAACGCUGGCGGCAUGCCUUACACAUGCAAGUCGAACGGCAGCGCGGGGGCAACCUGGCGGCGAGUGGCGAACGGGUGAGUAACAUAUCGGAACAUACCCUAGAGUGGGGGGAUAGCCCAGAGAAAUUUGGAUUAAUACCUCAUAGUAUAGCAGUUUCGCAUGAAACCACUAUUAAAGUCACAACGAUGAAAGAUGAGCAUGCGUCCCAUUAGCUUGUUGGUAAGGUAACGGCUUACCAAGGCAACGAUGGGUAGGGGUCCUGAGAGGGAGAUCCCCCACACUGGUACUGAGACACGGACCAGACUCCUACGGGAGGCAGCAGUGAGGAAUAUUGGACAAUGGGCACAAGCCUGAUCCAGCCAUGCCGCGUGCAGGAUGACGGUCCUAUGGAUUGUAAACUGCUUUUGUACAGGAAGAAACACUCCCUCGUGAGGGAGCUUGACGGUACUGUAAGAAUAAGGAUCGGCUAACUCCGUG